Molecule: long non-coding RNA, 19779 nt
Filed under: Nicotiana benthamiana
Lineage: Eukaryota; Viridiplantae; Streptophyta; Magnoliopsida; Solanales; Solanaceae
Description: long non-coding RNA (NBEN_LNC019024)
Source: RNAcentral
UUUACUGAAGAUUAUUAUGUAUAUAUCUGUCUGAAUUCCUUAUCCUCUCAUGUCGUCUCUUUCAGAAGCCAACUCCCCCCAAACCCUAACUAAUCCGCCGCCCUCAGAUCCUCCACCACAGCCAGCGCCUUCACCUCUAAUUGACACCAAAAUAACACCCUAUAGACUCUAUAACCCCUCACCACAAAUCUCCAUCCUAUUUCCUUUAAACGUUUCUACAGAUCCUUAAAUAUCAAAUCAAAAAAUUGAGUCCUAAAUCCCAAAAUAUCAAAUGGGUAGGAUUUUGAAGAUUUGGGAUCGAAAUCGACUUUAGUCAUGUGUUUUAAGUUGAGAACACACGAUUAAGGUCCAUCUCGACGAAAAUCAAAGAUUUCAUUGAAGCAUUGGUUCUGAAAUUGUGGUUCGCUUAGUUCUAACAAUCAAUUUGGUGUGUUUUGUUUUUCUUUUAUUUAUUGUUCUUAUCUUCUUAUAUUCCUCUGCUUUUGCUACUUUUAUCUGUUUUUUUUGCAUGUGUUUCAUUAGAUUAGGUUAGUUUCUUAUUUCGUUGAUUUUAACAUCUGGGCCAUAAUCGAAUUUUAGUUCGUAUGUUUGCAUGAGCUUUUCUGCCCCAUCUUGCUUUUGGAAUUAUGAAAUCAGACCUGGGCCCAAAGAAAGAAUUAGCCCAAGUCUUAUGUAGAUUAAGCUGUUUGUUCUUAGCUUUUUGACCCAUUUUUGGACUCGUUUAAAUAUUGGGUCAGCUUGACCCAUGAGCUUCAAUGUAAAAAAAUAGGAUAACUAGGGGGCAAUUUGGGAAAAUUCCUUGAGGAAUCUUGCAGUAACUGCCUUUAAAAGCUUCUAGAAAGCUAAAAUAUAGACUUGCUUGGCAAGCAAGCCAAGAUUUGAGGGAUUAUUAAAUAAAAAUAAAAUUUAAAAAGGACUAAAAUGCAAAUUUGAAAGUUGAUAAUUAUCCUAGUUGCUUGCCUAUAAAGCCAUUGUUACCUUAAGCUAAAAUCAGAUUUGAGAGAGCUGAAAAAUACAAAAAAUUGAAACGGCUAAGAAUUUCAUAAAAUUUCAUUGUUUUAUUGAGUACUUCUUUGUGAUUUCUUAGAUUUCCAACUCCUGAAAUGAAUGCUGAUUUAUCUAAGGGCUGAAAUGGUUUGAUUUUGAUAGAAUUGAGGGAAAAAAUCCAGAAAAAGAUAAAAAUGGCAGAAAUUUUUACUGUUUCAUUGAGUUUCAGAGAUUUUUAACUUCUUUUCAACUCCUGAAACUAUAUUAAUUUAUCCGAGUGGGAAAUGGACUGAAUUUUGUUGUCGAAAGGUUGAUCUAAAGUUUUUCUGGGCUGCUGUUUGUUUGAACUGGUUACAUUGAGCUUUAUACACCAUUUCUGGAUUUGGAGCUGUUUAGUUUGUUGUUUUGGUGCGAAUUUCUAUUGCUGCUCUUGUUGAUACUUCACUGCCUAUUUUUGUUCACUUCCAGGUAUACAUUUAUGCACUUCAAUUGAAUGUAAAGUUUGAUUUGGGAAUGAAAAGUGGAAUCUGUAGCUUUGAGCCGUGUUCACUUUAGUUGGGUUGAUAAUAUAGUUUACUUGUUUGCUUUGUUUUGUUUAAUACUUUCAUAUACUAUCUCUCCAACCCUGCGCAAUAUAAUUGAAGACUUAGCAUCUGAGUAUCAUGUGUUGUGAUAGAUUAGUUUGAGGUCCAUCUCAGUAUAGUUCUUUACAUGUAUUCAUUUUUACUAUUUGUUUGUUUUAAGGUCAGUAAUUGGACUAGUUUAAAUACAGUUGGUUUGAGUUUGUUUUUAGGCUGUUAGAUUUGUGUUGAGGGAUGUUUCUCAGGCCAUUUGUAAGGUCAAUAUCUGCUUGUUUGGGGGGGGAAAUCAUCAUGUGCUUCAAUGUUUACUUUAGAUCUUAUUGAAGUUGGUUUUAUGUUUAGCUUAUAUUUUCUUUUAGAAUUCGAGUUUUGUAUCACGCUAGUGCAUUUUUAGAAUUCAAGCAGCGCGUUUGUUUCUUGAAGAACUGUGAUUCAAGCCAUUAAUUGAUUCAAUGAGUUCCAAGCCUACUAACAGUAAUAUGUGGAUGAUAUAGUUUGUGGGAUGUGAAUUAUUAUUGUUCUAUUUAGUCCAAUACAGUUGUUGCAUUUUCAUGGCAAAAAUUAAUUUAGAAAUACGUGAAAAGUACCACUAGAAGUCAAGCUCUUCAAGUUAGGAACUUUUUACUCCAAAAGGCGCUCAUUAAUUUGGUUCAUAAAUUCAUGCCCGUACCUUUUGGUGAGCACGUUCUUGAUCAAUAAAAUGGGGGAGUGUGGUAUUGAGCCUAGUACGGGCCCAGAUGGGACUCAUCAGCUUCAGGCUCCUUUUCUCAUCAUGAUUGGGGCUCUUCUGAGCCCAAGGCUUAAUGAUGUUAGAGGUCUACAUUUGCUUAUUUAAAAUAAUUUCCUCCAGGCUUAUGGGUAUCUAAUACAUUGCUUUAGAUCAUUUCAUAAGUCUAGUAUCAUUUUUUAGAAUCUGAGUUUUGUAUCACGGUUAUCUUGUGCAUUUUUAGAAUUCAAGCAGGGCGUUUGUGUUCUUGAAGAACUGUGAUUUAAGCCAUCAAUUUACGGUUAAAUGAGUUCCAAGCCUGCUAACAGUAAUAUGUUGAUGAUGUAGUUUAUUCAAAGUGGGAUGUGAAUUCUUAUAUUUCUAUAUAGUCCAAAAGGAUUGUUGCAUUUUCAUGGCAAGAAUUGGUUCAGAAAUGCGUGAAAAGUACCACUAGAAGUCGACCUCUUCAAGUCAAUCAUUUUUUUACUCCGAAUAGGCACUCAUUAAUUUGGUUCAUAGAUUCAUGCCUGUAUCUGAAAGUGAGCACAAUCUUGAUCAAUAAAAUAAGAGAGUGCGGUGUUGGGCAUAGCGCAAGCCCAGAUGAGGACUCGUCAGCUUGAUACUCUUUUCCUCAUCAUUGGGCUCUUUUGAGCCCAAGGCUUAACGAUGUCAGAGGACUGCCCAUUUCUUAUUUAAAGUAAUUUCCUCCGGUCUUGUGGGUAUCUAAUACAUUGCUUUUGAUCAUUUCAUAGGUUAGAGUCAUUAUAUAAAAAUAAUUCGAAUCCUUUAAGUUAUCCGUUAAUUAAAUAAUGAGGGUUGAGCCAUACUAUAAAUAGCUUAUGGCCCUCAUGAGUUAGUUUGAAUUCUCUUUCAAGUAAAUAAUUUGAGGUGUGUCAUUCCGAACAAAAAUGACAUUGCAUGGGCGUGGCCAUCAUUUUAAUUAGUUUCAACUUAAUCUUAGAAUUCGAGGCGUGUCAUUUAGCAAAACUUUCAUGGCCCUCGCAAAGUUUAAAAUGUGUAGUUGCUUUAAGCGCGUAUUUUAAAUAUUACCUUCCUAAACUCGGGUGUGCAUUUCAUGUAACCCAAAUCCAAAUCCUUAUAACGUUGAAUAAAAUGUGUUUCGGAUUGUGGGUGCAUUUCAUGUGGCCUGAUCCAAAGACCUAUUUUAAACGACAUUAAAUCUCCUUUAAAAAGGAAUAAAAGUGGUUAAAAGUAAAAUGCACAUAUGUUUAUAAUUAUUUUAAAUUCAGAUAAUUAUGCUGAUAAUAAUAGUUGAGCGACCGUGAUAGAACCAUAGAGCUCGAGAAUGCCUAACACCUUCUCCUAGGUUUACAGAAUUCCUUACCCGGAUUUCUGGUUCGCAGACUAUUAAACAUAGUCAAUCUUUUUCUCGAGUCAGGAUUUGAAGCGGUGACUUGGGACACCAUAAAAUUAGCCCAAGUGGUGACUCUGAGUUUUAAUAUAAAUAAUUCUCAUUUCGAUUUUCCUUUAAUUGGAAAAAACUUCUUUAUACUCCUUUUUGGGGUGUGGUGAAAAAAAGGAGGCGUUAUAGCUCUGACAACUCUGCCGGGGAUCGAACCCAAAAUCUCUCGAUCAGGGUUCAAGAAUUCGAGCUUGGAUAAAUUGUUAUAUUUGGCUUUAUCUAAUUUUGUUACAUAUUUGGGCCUAAUAUGCUAAAUGAUGCUUUUUACUACUUUAAUAUUGAUGAACUGUAUAUAAGUUGUUACGAAUCCCUCCUCUCGCUGAGUCUUCUAAAUCUUGAAGGAGUAUGCACUUCGUGUGAUUUCUUUUCUGUUAGAGUCAAUUUCCAAAUUUAGAAUGAGGUUCAGACAAGUUGUAAAGCCGAUGAAGCUUUUGUAUUCCCGGUACGCUCUCUCCUCCCCCUCCCCCAGCUCAAGUUGUCCGCUCGGGUAAGCUAGGUCUAGAACAGUAAAUUAAGGUUUUUUAAACAUAGAAUACCUCGGCCUCAUGCCGGACCCCUAGUAGGAGAGAUUUGUUCCAUCACGUGCAUUUGACUUAGGGGACUCAACACAGGGGUUGGGUCCAUCUAGGACAAGUGUAACCAAAAUAACAGAUCAUCCUGAUGCAUAUUUUACGUGCUAUCUGUUGCAUUUAUUUGCUUCGGGUUUGCAUGCUGACUGACUUUUGAUUGAUGGGAAAAUUGGAAAAAAGGAAAACAGUAGCAUUGUGAGGUUUAAGUGAGUUUAUAAUGAAAAAAUCAAUGUCCAAAUUGUAUUGAAACUCUGCCGAAUUUUGAGAAAAAUGAAAAGAAAGAAAAAAGAAGUGAAAGGUUGUUUUCAAAUAUAGUUGGUUUUAUUUCAUUUGUCCAAACUACGCUAGUUUGAUUAUCCAAACUUUCCUUUUGCAAAAAUAGCCCAAAAAAAAAACAAAAAGUUUUUUAUGCUGUAAAUAACUAAGGUGAUGUCAUUCUUGUCAAAAAUAGCCGAAUGUCCCUCAAAAGGGACUGACUUUAGUCAUUUUUCAAGGUUUUGGCCGGUUAGCCGAUACAACCUUAAAAUCUUCGUUUAGAAGUCCGAAAGGCCGUAUUGGCAAAGCUGGAUAUUCUAACAAUUUUGAAAAAAGAAUGGUCAUUUUGUUUCAUUAAAUAAAUAUAAGUCGUAGUUUGCUUUUGAGUAAAAUUACCUUAAUAAAUGUGCAGGAUGAGCACAAUUCAAAAUGAACCUUUCCAAGUUGGUGAAGAGAUCCCUUUGGAGCUACAUAUUUGGUGGCAUGAUUUGGGUAACGAUAGCCAGAAGGUUGUGACAAAAGCUUUGGGUGGUCUUACAGGGCUCUUGAAAGUUAAGCUGAGAAAGGACAUAAUUGAGGUACUGAUACUAUUUUGUGACACAACACACAAUGUAUUCCACUUUGCUGGGUUCAAAUCAACUCCUAUACUAGAAAAUAUAGUAGGCUACGCCGGUUUCGAAGGGAAUCUUAGAAAUCAAUACCCGGUAGCACCAAGAACAAUAACCCCUCACAAACUUUUGGACUUGUUAAGCAUCAGCCGGGACACUCUGAGAUGGAAAUUUGGCCAAGGGAUUCUGUAGCUUCUACUCUUGUACCGACGUUACGGGAAUCCUCGUCGCUUUGAGACGCCAGAUACUGGUCUUACUCAUGCAGAAAACCAAGACAAAUGGGAAGCUCGGAGAGGAUUAGAUUUUAUAAAGCGUUCCUGGGUGUUUUGAUUUUUCCCAGAAAAGACGGGAAAAUUAGAGUUGGGACUCGUGGGAUAGCCGACUUUAUGAUGAAAAAGGCUAAUGUGACUAUAAUGCCAAUGAUCUUGGCAAAUAUUUACCUAACUUUGACCUUUUGUCGAGAAGUAAGAAAGUUCUUUGAAGGGUGCAAUAUGUUGUUAUAACUAUGGAUGGAGGAACACCUUUUGUUAUCGCCCCAGAUAUCUGAAUUGUGGUAUGACUGGUUUUGAAUGCAUAAAAUAACAUGAAAAAUGGGUAGAGGGUUACGGGUUCCCGGAGGGUACACAAGCAUGGCAUCCCGACUUGAUAUCCUUGGUGCAAACAAAAUCGAAUGGACGUCCGGGUGUCUCUCGGUCGAUGAAGUAAUCUAUGUGUCGGCUGACGAGUGUUUUCUACUAUUGAUGGGUAUUCGGAGUAUCCAGCCUUAUGCUCUGCACAAAGUCCUAUGCUAGUUAGGCCGAUAUCAGACCAUCCCACACAAUAAAGAUUUGAGUCGGCAUAUCAUUGAGGUAGAACCAAAAUUUGCUUUUCUAGAAGAAAAAAUGCGCCGGAUUUGCAUCAGUGCAAAUUCUUAGAACCUAAAAGCCAAGUAUGAGAUUUAUCUAGAGGUGAGUUGGAACCUGGUUACCCUGCUUGGUAUGGUAAAAGAUCCCGAAUUCAUCAGGAGUCCGAAAGGCCCACGAAGAAACCCCAUGUCCAAUAGUUCACCGACGGAGCACAGCUACAGUGGGCAUAGUUGGUCAAGGAAAACGAAUACAGGGCCACGAUAGGAAAGCUGGAAGGGAAAAUAAAAAAUCUUCAAACGAGAAUGGUUUGCAAGUUGCGACAGACAAGGGUGAAAAGCAAAGACUAGCCAAAGAAAAUGAAGUCCUUCGAGCCCAUAUUCAGAAAAUAAAAAUAGCGGCAGAGAAUCCCAUCAGAAGUGUAAAAGACGAAAAGCUCAUUGACAACUUGAGGAGGAAAGUAGGGGAAUAUGGUUUUGACCUAAGCAAAGCAGAGGGUGAGCUAGCCAGGACCCAAAAGCAGCAUGCCAAAAAUGCACAAGAACGAGCAUGCUUGAUUGAACAGUUGAAAGAAAAGUACGACAAUGAGGUUGCGGGAUUAAAGAAGAGGGUCAUCACUGUUGAAAAUAAAAUGGUUAAGUAGGCAAAGGACUUUAAGGCUGAAAGAGAGCACUGUUACACAACAAUAGCACAUCUAGAAAGGGAUUUGCCUCAAUUUCCAGAACUGAAUCGGGUAGCCAAUCAAACUUUGGAAGCCAGGACCUAGCAGAUUGGGCGGUUGUUGCAAGAAAGGGGUGUCAUAAGAGAGAGGGUUUGUAGGAUCGCUGAUUACAUUGCAGUGAAGUGUAGCGGCUGUGAAGAUAUGAAAAGAUCCAUGUUCUUUUCCACUGCAGUGACCUUCGUUCGUCAAGUGAUGGAAGACCUCCAACACCUCCAAGGGGAUUUAGAACUCAGGCUUGCGGCAAGAUCGGCUGAUGUCCUGCGGGCCCCAAGAGAAUUAUAGGCAUUAAUGUAUUCGUGAUUGUCACUCGCGUAUGUUAGUCUGUGAAGUCUGUAUUUUCUUUUACUUGAGUCUGUAAUUGGUUGUCGAGUCUGUUGGUCUUGUUUCAAGUCGGUGUCUGUUAAUUUCUUUUCUCAUGUCUGUUAGUUUGGUCGUUGUAAUCAAAACUAUUUUACUUUAUGAAAAUAGAAAUUCCCAAAAAUAUUUUGUUUUUACACUUAUCUUCCAAAACUACGCUCGGUCUGAUUCAUGUGGGAUCAUGAUACGUAGGCAAUCUCCAUAGGAUUAGACCAUAACCAAUAGAAAAGCGAAAAAGAAAUAAGGAAAAGAGAGAAAAUAAAAGAGAGAGAAAAAUAAGAAACUGUGAGAAGGAAACAACGGCAAAAUAAGGGAGAGAAUAAUAAAACAAAGACGAAGCAGGCAAAAACAAGCUAAAUAAAAGAAAAAAAACAGCAACAAACAACAACAGACGAAAAGAGAAAGAGGAGUUGUGUAUAGGAUAAAAAGUCGGGAUUACACAAGCAGCCCAUCCAAUGCAUAAUAAAAACCGAUAACUGCUUAGGUGCAUUCAUCCCCGAAUAUAUGGUUGCAUAUCUGUUAAACCUGACUACUAACAAGUUUGUUAUUGUCUAUCUACUCACAUACAGGUGGUUAAUUUUGUGGCAUUCUGGCAUCUCACCCCUACAACACCCGUUCUACGAUCAAGUUGACUAUGGUCAACCAAGAGCCCGAUGCAAGUAUCAUCGAUCCCUCAAGAGAGGUGGAAGAGUUGGAUGUUAAUGCAAUGAAAGAAGAGGGGUCAAAAUGGAAACAACAAAUGGCUGAAAUGUACCAAGCAUGGGUAAAAGGGCAACCACCACCAGCUUAUCCGGCCAACCCGUCCUUCAUCCCGCCGUUAGCCCAGUCACAUGGUUACCUUCCACUAGCCCGCCCCCAAGCUUCCCCAUCUACCAACAGUACCAGGGCACAACUUCCAAGACACCACCAGCUCCACCACCCAAACUUGUUCCACACCCUCCUCCACCAGUUGCUCCUAUCUUUGUGGCACCUCCACCCGCCACACUGCACAGAUCCUCCAGUGAACCUUUGUUCCAAACCCAUGACAACGAGUAUUACCCCCCGGAACCUACUUUUAAAGCUCCAGAACCCCAUUCAUACACUCUUUAUUUUGAUCUCUCUACAGAGGCUGAGAAGCCAGCCAAAAAUCCUGAGCAAGAGGAUAUGCUCAGGAAAGUCAAAAGCUUAGAACAAUCAUUCAGAGACAUGAAGGGCCUGGGAGGUCAAGUAAGUGUGGCGUACAAAGAUAUAUGUUUGUUCCCAAAUGUACAAUUGCCAGUAUGGUUUAAGAUGACCAAGUUUGAUUUAUACGAUGGGCACGGUGAUCCAAUAGCAGACUUGAGAGGUUUUGCAGCAAAAUGAGGGGGCUGGAGUAAAGGACGAGUUGCUGAUGGCGUAUUUCAGUCAAAGACUGAGCGGUUUAGCAUUGGAAUGGUAUACCCGGCAAGACCACAGAAGGUGCUACACGUGGAAUGAUCUAGUCCAUGUGUUUGCUUUCCACUUUCAGUACAAUCUUGAAAUUAUUCCAGAUCGAAUGUCCUUGACGAAACUCGAAAAUAAGCACAGUAAGAGCUUUAGGGAGUAUGGCUUCCGUUGGAGAGAGCAGGCAGCGAGAGUCGAUCCUCUAAAAGGGAACUGAAAUGGUGGGUUACUUCGGACAGGCCUUAGAGCCUACUUACUUCGCUCACUUGGUAUCAGCUAUGGGAAAGUCCUUCAAUGAAGUGGUCAAAAUGGGAAACAUGGUAGAAGAAGGGCUCAAAUCUAACAAAAUCAUGAGCUAUUCAGCAACCAAGGUAACCAUCCAGGCCAUUCAAAGUGGAACUGGAGGAUCAAUUGGAAAGAAGAAUAAAGAGGAGGUAGUAACAAUUGACUCAGGUGCUUGGUUUGGACCCAGGGGUUCACCACAUUACAACCACCCUCGAUCCUACCACCAAACCUACCCCCACACUCCAUAUAGUCCACCCCAACACUAUACUUACCCCCAAACCCCCGCUUUUCUGUCCAUCAGGCACAAACAUAUUCUCAACCUCCCUCCCACGAACAACGGCGUGCGCCAACCCUACAAAAUAAUUACCUAGCUCCACAAAAUGCCUAUCUACCUCCAAAAGCCUACCAAAACCCCCUAAGACCAGCUUUUCGGGCCAACCAAGCUUUUAAGAAUGAGAGAUUGCAGAAUAAGAAAACCUUCACUCUAUUGAGAGAAUCCUAUACCAGCUUAUUUCACAGGUUGAGACAGUUAGAUAUGUUGAGGCCGAUUGAAGCAAAGUUGCCUAAUCCGCCCCAGAGAAAUCUUGAUUAUUCUGCCAGUUGAGAGUACUGUUUUGGUGCCCCAGGGCAUGACACAGAGAAAUGUUUGCAUCUGAUCCAAGAGCUCAUUGAUUCACAAUGGAUUGAGGUGCAAGUUCCAGAAGCACCCAAUACUAACCAGAACCCGCUACCUGCCCAUCAAGAAACAAACAUGAUUGAGAUAGUGCACAAAGAAGGAGAGCCCAUAAAGCCUUCACAAACUAUCAUGAUGAUCCAAGCCAGUAAGAGGAAGCCGGUUGAAAAACUAACAAGCGAGAUGUCGAUGCUUAAGUUGAGUGGAACAAACAGUGAGACUUUCGUUGUAACCAAGAAAGGAUCCUCGAGAUAUGGGAUAGUGAAACAAGAAAAUGUAAAAGUGGUGGUACCCGAGGUGGCAAGCAAGCCUGUUGUGGUUAUGGAAGGUGCUCGCACAGAGACCAUUACCAUCAAACCUGUAACUCAGCUACCAAUAGUCAACAAAAGGACCGUCGCUUGGAAUUAUGAGCGAGUAACAUUGACUUAAAAGAGGUUAGAAAAGAAGUUUGCGAGACCCAUGGAUUGACCCGUUGAGGAGGUGCUUUGCCUCUGAAGAGUUGAGAAAAUCUAAACCAUCCAAAGAUAACUCAACAUUGGUGAAGAAAGUUGUAACUGAAGAGGAAGCAGGGGAGUUAUUGAAAAAGAUGAAAGUGCAGGACUAUUCUAUUAUGGAACAACUGAGGAAACGCAUGCUCAAAUCUCAGUGUUGUCAUUGUUAAUUCAUUCGGACGAGCACCAUCGGGCACUCAUGAAGAUCCUGAAUAAGGCUCACAUUCCUGACAAAAUCUCAGUCAAUCACUUGGAAAAGUUAGCUAACAAGAUCUUCAAGGUAAACAUAGUCAUGUUUUCUGAUGAUGAAUUGCCUAUAGAGGGUACUGAACAUAAUAGAGCCCUUUAUCUUACGGUGAAGUGCGAAGAUUCUGUGGUUGCUCGAGUAUUGGUCGACAACGGUUCAAGUGCGAACAUCUGACCCUUUUCCACGUUGAACAAGAUGAAAGUGAAUGAUAAAAUAAUUUCAAGAACAGUAUUUGUGUACGAGGGUUCGACGGCGGAGGGAAAGAUUUGGUUGGUGACAUAAUACUCGAGCUAACAAUCGGACCAGUUGAUUUUACCAUGAAAUUCCAGGUGUUAGAUGCGGUUGUCUCUUACAAUAAGUUGUUGGGGUGACCCUAAAUCCAUGCCACAAAAACGGUCCCCGCUACUUUGUAUCAAAUGAUAAAAUUUAAAUGGGACAGAUAGGAAAUAGUUGUGCACGGCAAGGACAAUUUGUAUGUCUAUAGUGAUGCCAUUGUACCAUUCAUUGAGGCUGAUGAUGACAAGGAGCCUUGGGUAUAUCAGGUUUAUAACAUGGUAUCGGUAAAGAAGAUUCCAAGAGGGAACUGUGUUCUAGUACCGAAGCUAGCUGCCGCAUAAGUCAUGGUAGCCAUUGAAAUAUUGAGGAAUGGUUUUGUCCCAGUAAAAUGUUUGGGUGUGUCACUUCAAGGUAUCGUGCAACUGGUGUCUCUCCCCAAAAACAUGGACACCAUUGGUUUGGGAUUCAAGCCCACAAUUAUAGAUAUAAAGAGAGCAAGAUGGAUGAAGAAAAAAGCAUGGGUCCUUCCCAAGCCUGUGCUGCGUCUCUUCAGAUUAUUUUUUUAGGCCCGGCACUAAGAAGUGCCCGACAACAAGAAGUUCCAGUUCUAUGGUUGGUCCUGAUAAAGAUUGCUUGAAAAUCUCGAAACGUUGUUUGAAGAUGUGAAUGUGAUAGAAGCUGGAGAGGGCCCUAGCAAGGCAAACGUGCAAUUUGUUGGGUCCUGUGCAAAGAUCAAUAAUUGGGAAGCUACUCCUCUCCCGACCAGGAAGGAGUUGUGGUAGUUUGCUUUGAUUUUCUUUCAAUUUAUCUAGAUUAUUCCAGAGUUGUAAUUCAAAUUCUAUGUUCCGUUCGUUUGGAUGUAUAAACCUUGUUAUCUUCCAAUUUCAAUGAAAUGGAAUUUUCUUUUUUCCAUCAUUUCUGAUAGUUUUUAUUUUUUUUGCUUUUCUUUUCCUUCUUGUACAGUUCUUUUUAUGUUGGUUUCAAUGACAUGACAUGCAUAAGGAAUCUUCAGCCCAGUCUUGAAAGCCAAUCCAAUUCUGAAAUAAUAAUUCAAGAGAUAGAAUGUGAGAAUGAAUCAGAGUAUGAUGAGGAUGGGGCGUUUGAAGAAAUCAUUAAAGAAUUAAGCCACUUUGAGGAAAAACCCAAGCCAAACAUGAGCGAUACAGAAGCAUUCAAUAUACGGGACCCAGAUAAUAUCAAAGAAACUAAAAUAAGUGUCCAUCUUGAGCCACUUCUUAGGGAAGAGAUAAUCAAACCAUUGCUUGAAUACAAAGACAUUCGCAUGGUCUUAUGACGACAUGCCGGGUCCAAUAACUGACCCGGAGGUUCACAAAUUGCCCACUGACCCGGCAUGCCCUCGCAUCAAACAAAAGUUAAGGAAGUUUAAAACUAACAUGAGCAUAAAGAUCAAAGUGUAAAUCACAAAGCAGUUUUAGGCAAAGUCAUUCGAGUCACGCGGUAUCCACCUGGUUAGCCAAUAUUGUGCCUGUGCCAAAGAAGGAUGGAAAAACCAGGGUGUGUGUCGAUUAUCGUGACCUCAACAAGGCGAGUCCAAAGAAUAACUUCCCACUGCUGAAUAUCCACAUAUUAAUUGAUAAUUGUACAAAGCAUGAGAUUGGUUCUUUUGUGGAUUGUUACGGGGGCAAUCACCAGAUAUUGAUUGAUGAGGAGGAUGCGGAGAAGACAGGUACAUUCUCAAGAUCAAUCCUACGAAAUGCGCAUCUAGUGUUCCUUCGGGAAAGUUGUUGGUAUUCAUAGUCAGUCGUCGAGGUAUUGAGCUGGACCCGUCAAAGCUAUACAAGAGUUGUCACCUUUGAGGAACAAGACUGAGAUGAUGAGUCUAUUAGGGAGAUUGGAUUUUAUCAGCAGGGAUACUAUAGUCAAGUGGACAGAGGAAUGUUAGGAAGCAUUUGAUAAGAUAAAGGGGUAAUUGUCUAACCCACAUGUAUUGGUCCCACCAGAACUAGGGAGGACUUUGAUUCUGUAUCUGACGGUUCUGGACAAUUCAUUCGGAUGUGUGUUGGCGCAGCACGAUAUCACCGGCAGGAAAGAGCAGGCCAUAUACUACCUUAGCAAAAAUUUCACAUCUUACGAGGUUAAGUAUACUCAUCUUGAGAGGACAUGCUAUGCCCUAACUUGGGUAGCACAAAAGUUGAAACAUUACUUGUCAUCUUAUACUACUUACCUCAUUUCCAGCAUAGAUCCGUUAAAGUACAUCUUUCAAAAGCCUAUGCCCACAGGGAGGCUUGCAAAGUGGCAGAUCCUGCUCACAGAAUCUGACUUCGUCUAUGUGACUCAGACUGCGAUGAAAGCACAGGCAUUGGCUGACCAUUUGUCCGAGAACCUGGUGGAUGAAGAAUAUGAACCUCUGAAGACAUACUUCCCGAAUGAGAAGCUGAUGUAUAAUUAUGAAGUGGAAUAGGUUGAAAAGCCAUGAUUGAAACUACUCUUUGAUGGGGUCGCCAACAUGAAAGGCGUUGGGAUAGGUGCAGUACUUAUUUAUGAAAUAGGGCAUCACUACCCAAUUACAGCUCAACUCCGUUUCUAUUGCACUAACAAUAUGGCAGAAUAUGAGGCAUGCAUUUUGGGUAUGAGGUUAGCUGCAGACAUGGGUUUCUAGGAAGUCUUGGUCUUGGGGAAUCGGACCUUCUGGUACACCAGAUUCAAGGGGAAUGGGAAACAUGAGAUUUGAAACUCAUACCAUACCGGAAAUAUCUGCAUGAUCUUUGUCAAUGGUUUUGAUCAAUAGAGUUCAUGCAUAUUCUGAGAAUCCACAAUGAGGUUGUUGAUGCUUUGGCUACCCUGACAUCGAUGUUACAUCAUCUAGAUAAGGCUUAUGUUGACCCGCUGCAUAUACAAGUCCACGAUCAACAUGCUUAUUGUAAUGUGGUGGAAGAGGAGCUUGAUUGUGAAACCUUGGUUUCAUGAUAUCAAAGAAUAUAUCAGGAUGGGUGUGUACCCAGUAGAAGCUACAGGUGAUCAAAAGAGAACAAUUUGUCACUUAUCAAGCAGAGUUUUCUUCAGUGGAGGGGUAUUGUACAAAAGAACACUAGAUCUUGGGUUGUUGAUAUGCAUAGAUGCUAUACAAGCCACAACCAUCAUGACCAAGGUACAUUCCGGAGUUUGUGGACCGCAUAUAAGUGGAUAUGUCUUGGUAAAGAAGAUUCUCCGAGCAGGUUAUUAUUGGCUCACCAAGGAGCGAGACUGUAUCAGCUUCGUGCAGAAAUGUCAUCAAUGUCAGGUGCACAGAGAUCUGAUUCAUUCCCCACUAUCUCAAUUACAUACAAUGUCUGCACCAUGGCCCUUAAUUACUUGGGGCAUGGAUAUCAUUAGGCCCAACGAGCCAGCAGCAUCCAAUGGGCACAAGUUCAUUCUGGUGGCCAUUGAUUAUUUCACAAGUGGGUUGAAGCUAAAACUUUCAAGUCUGUGACCAAAAAGGCCAUGGUCGAUUUUGUGCAUUCAAAUAUUAUUUGUCGGUUCAGGAUCCAGAAGGUAAUCAUCACUGAUAAUGGUGCAAAUCUUAUGAGUCAUUUAAUGGAAGGGGUAUUUCAACAAUUUAAGAGUACGCAUCGCAAUUCCACUCCAUACCGUCCAAGGCAAAUGGAGCAGUUGAGGCAGCCAACAAGAAUAUAAAAAGAUACUUCGAAAAAUAGUGGAGGGUUCCAGGCAAUGACAUGAGGAGCUGCCCUUCGCAUUGUUGGGUUAUCGCACUACUGUUCAUACUUCAGUAUGGGCAACUCCCUAUUUGUUGGUGUAUGGUACAGAAGCGGUGAUACCGGCAGAGAUUGAAAUCCCAUCCCUUUAGAUUAUCGCUGAGGCUAAAAUUGAUGAUGACGAGUCGGUCAAAACCCGCCUGGAGCAAUUGGAGUUUGAUUGACGAGAAAAGAUUAGCAGUAGUAUGUCAUGGCCAGUUGUAUCAACAGAGAAUGGCCAGAUCAUAUAACAAGAAAGUGCGCCCACAAAUGUUUGAAAUUGGUCAGUUAGCAUUGAAACGCAUCCUCCCUCAUCGGGCGGAGGCAAAGGGAAAGUUCUCCUCGAAUUGGCGGGGCCGUUCAUCGUGAUUAGAGAGUUGUCCAAUAGGGCUUUUUAUUUAACAGAUGUAGGAGGCAAGUAUAUAGAAGAUGCAAUUAAGGUAUACUAUGUAUGAUUUUCUUUGGUUAAAUUGUACUUGUUUGUAGUUGGCAUAUUUUGAAGAUUGAAAUGACGAGGGAAUUUUGUUCUAAUAUCUAAAUACUUUAUCCUUUGUUACCCUUUUUGAGCCUUAUUUGUUUUUCAUACCCCUAUUUCGGAAUCAAUAGCAAAAUCAGAAACGCAAGCGUGAAAGAUAAGUAAAGGAAAGAAUGAAAAGAAGAAAAAACAGAAAAAAAGAGAGAGAGAAAAGGUAAUAAAAAGAAAGAAAAGAGAAGAAAAUAAAAAAAAAAGAAAAAGACAAAAAAACAACAACAAAACGACAAAACAAUAAAAGAAAAAAAGAAGAAAAUAAAGAAAAUAAGAGAGAGAGAGAGGAAGAAACAGGAAAGAGAAAUCACAACAACAAAGUAAUUUUUAUGUCAUGAACUACGUUCGACCUGAUUCCUUGUAAGGAUGCGUCGGCAACCUCAUGGUUCGGUCCCAUCAAAGUAAAAAUCCAAAGGUCCCCAAGCAAGAAACUGGGGCAGAAGUUGUGGUUGUUGUAAAAAAUUUGAUUCUGGAAGUUGUAAGGUUGAGCCCAUGUAAAUUAUUUUGAGCAGUGGAUACCCUUUCUUUCUAAUCUCGUCCAAAAGCCCACAUUACGGUCCAAAGAAAGACCUGCUGAUCAAUCGUCAAAGAGGCCAAGUCAAACAACUAGAGAUAAUUACUAUUAGGGGCAACACUCAAGUCCAAACAAAGAAAAUGAAAAAUGAGAGAGUUUUACUGGUCAAAACCCUUACGGGCACUGUAAGACAACGAGAGUUGAGAGAAAACCAAAAUGAGAGAGUCUUAUUGGUGAUAAACCUCAUAGGCAUUGUAGGGCGAUGAGAGCUGAGAGAAAUGAAAAAUGAGAGAGUCUUAUUGGUGAAAAUCCUCACGGGCACCCUAAGGUGAAAGCAAGUUGAGAGAUGAACAAACAGAAGAGGUCUGUGGGCGAAAACCUGCUUAGGGCACAGCAGUAUGAGCAAGGUCAAGGUUUGGUUAAAGAAAUCGGGUUACAAAAACCCAGGACAACAAACCAUGGCGACUAAGAGCCGAUUGGUUCGACAUACUGGGCCGACUAAGCCGAAAUGUAUGUCAUAAUCAUUGGUACCAUCUGUUCCACUCAGAUAAGUCUCUUUUCUUUCUCCCUUUUAGCAGCCAUCCAGUUUUGGAUUCUUCUACUCCUUGAACCUCGAAGUCAUUGCAUUUCAUUUUCUUUCGGGUUCCUAUUUCUCUAAGAUGUUUCAAGGUCAAUUUUAUUUUAGCAAGUAAGAAAGAAUUUCAAAUCCUACUACCAGCUCCUAAAGGUGCAAGGCACAGUAUGGCCAGAACAUACAAAAAACAACAUGAUGUAAAGUGGGAUAUAAAGAAUCACCAAAAGCUUCAUUGGCGGAAUGAUUUUGUAAUUUCAGGAGAGAAGCAAAGAUUCUGAUAAAGGGGUCAGGAUACAAUUGCAACGGUUUGGGUACGGAACACUCGGUUUAUCCAAGGUCUUGAGGCUUGAAAGUUAGGCAGGAAAUCAGGAGGUUCAGGGCUAGUUCGGGGAAGCUAGUCAAGACAAAGCAUGACAAUAUGGAGGCCACUUUCAGCAAGAAUGCCGCAAACUAACCACCAUAUUUUAAACUGACAAGAUUUUUCUUUGAUUGAAAUAGGGGCAGAAAGUUUUGAUUGUUUCGAGGAAACCCUAUGUAGGGGAAAGGCAAGCACCAAGCAGGUAUAACAGUAAAAUUUCAGGACCCUCCUGGAUAACGGGACCUAGUUAAAGUUCAAAAUAAUCAUGAAUAGCGAAAGGAAUAUAAGUUGGCUUAAACAUUUGUAUGCUUGAGAUAGAAUCUGAUUAGGAAUUCUCAGGACCCUCCUGGAAAAUAGGACCUAGUUUAAAAUUUAAAACAUUUAUGAGUAACAAGAUCUAGCAAAGGUCUUACCCCAAGGACAAAUAAGUUGGCUUCACAGUUCUUAUUUUAAGAUAAGAUUGAGUUUGGAGUUUUCAUGACCCUCCUGAACAAUGGGACUUAGCUUUAAGAUUUCUAUCAGAUAACAAGAUGUAGCUUUAAUAUUUCUAUUAGAUAACAAGAUGUAGCGUAAGUUCUACUGUAGGGUAGUAUAAUUCAUCCAUAAAGAAUUGUCACUCUUAGGAUGAAAUGUGACUUUGGAUUGUCAGGGCCCUCAUGGAUAAUGGGACGUAGUUAUAAGGUUUGCUUAGAUAACAAGAUAUAGUGGAAGUCGUACCUUCAGUAUAUAUAACGUAGAUUAAAGUUUUCUUUUAACUAGGGGUUUUCAGGACCCUCAUAGAUAGUAGAAUGUAGGUUUAAAUUUUUCUUAGAUACAAGAUAUAGCGGAAGUAAUACCUCCGGAAAAUAUAACUUAGAUUUAAAAUUGUUGUUUAAUUAAGAGUUGUCAGGACCCUCCUAGAUAAUGGGGUGUAGUUCUAAGAUUGGCUAGAUAACAAGAUGUAGCGGAAGUAAUACCUUUAGAAAAAUAAGUCAGAUUUAAAGCUGUCAAGACCUUCCUAGAUAAUGCGACCUAGCUUUCAAAUUCUUAGUGAUAUUUGUAACGUGGUUCAGUUUAACACUCACAUAUGUACCCAUCUACAAAACUAGGGUAGAAAAUUUUCUUUAUUGUGUUUAUUUUUGUUGAAAUCAGGUAUCCACCUGAAGAACAAGGUAAUACAAUUCAAGUUUUGGAAAUCAGGAGUCACUUGAAGAACAAUGGUAUACAGCUCAAGUUUCAGCAAUCAGGCGCCUACCUGGAAAAUAAUGGAAGACAGUUCAAGUUUUGCAAAUCAGGAGCCUACCUGGAGAACAAGGGAAUACAUUUCAAGUUUCGACAAUCAGCAUCCCACCUAGAGAAUAAGGGACUACAAUUCAAUUUUUGGCAAUCAGGAGCCCACCAGGAGAACUAGGGAACACAAUUCAAGUUUUAGUAAUCAGGAGCCCACCUAGAGAACAAGGGAAUAUAGUUCAAGUUUCGGGAAUCAGGAGCCCGCUUGGAGAACAAGGGAAUAUAAUUCUAGUUUUGGCAAUAAGGAGCCAGCCUGGAGAAUAAGGGAACACAAUUCAAGUUUUGGCAAUCAGGAGCCCACCUGGAGAAUGAAGGAACAGAACUCUUUUGGUAAUCAGAAACCACCUGGAGAAUAAGGGAAUGCAAUUCAAGUUUUGGCAAUCAGGAGCCCACCUGGAGAACGAGGAAACACAAUUCAAGUUUCAGUAAUCAAGAGUCUGCAUGGAGACCAAGGGAAUACAAUUCAAGUUUCGGCAAUCAGGAGCUCCUCUGGAGAACAAAGGAAUACAGUUAAUGUUUUGGCAAUCAGGAGCUCCCCUGGAGAAUAAGGAAAUACAGUUCAAGUUUCGGCAAUCAGGAGCCCCCUGGAGAACAAGGGAAUACAAUUCUACUUUUGAAAAUUAGAAUCCCAUCUGGAGAACUAGGGAACAUAAUUCAAAUUUUGGCAAUUAGGAUCCCACCUGGAGAACUAGGGAACACGAUUCAAGUUUUGGUGAUUAGGAGCCCACGUGGAAAACAAGGGAAUACAGUUCAAGUUUUGGUAAUCAGGAGCAUACUUGGAGAGCAACGGAAUACAGGUCAAGUUUUGGCAAUCAGGAGCCUGCCUUGAGAACAAGGGAACACAAUCCAAGUUUCAGCAAUCAGGAGCCCACCUGGAGAACAAGGGAACACAAUUCAAGUUCAUCAAUCAAGAGAUCGCCUGGAGAAGAAGGAAAUACAGUUCAAAUUUUGGUAAUCCGGAGCCCACCUGGAGAACAAGGGAAUGCAAUUCAUGUCUUGGUUACCAGGCACCCACCUGAAGUACAAGGAACACAAUCUGAGGUCAGCAAUUAGGCAUCCACCUAGAAAAGGGAGAACAUCUCAGAUUACAAUUCAAGUCAACAAGGAUCACAAGAUUAAGUGUUAAGAUAUAGAUAUGUUUUUUUUGUAGCUCAUUAAUCAUAGUCUAGUAGCAGUGCAACAAGGGAUUCGUCAAGCAGUAGCAGUAGUGCAGCAACAGUGAAAUCACAGCUCCUGGUAGUCCUAGUUACCAAACAUUCCUGAACUACACAGACCUGAUUCCUUUUUAGCCAAGGAUAUGUAGGCAACCUUAAUAGUAGGGUGCGGUCAAAUCUUUCAAAAGUUCUUCCAGCGGAGUAUUCAAACAGGCAAAAAUCGCUCUUAUCCUCUCGCUUUAUCUUUGCACGAAAACUCUUCGCGUUUCCGAGAAAAAAGGGGCAGCUGUGAGACACGUGAUUUGUGCCCUAUAAGAAUUACUCCCAUAAAUUCAUAAGAAAAUAAUUCUUUUUCAGUGUUUGCAGGAAAGAAAGCCCUGACCUAGUAUUUUAUUUUGACCGCCAGAAGCUGAACCCAAACCAAACCCUAAGCAAAGAAGGGAUGUGCCUUAGUUCAUUCUCGAGGACGGGAUUUUUUUAUUUUGGUUUUAAUUAGGUGUAGUAAGCAUUAGAUGUAUUUAAUUAGGAUAAUUUGAUUAUAGAUUAAUAUAGGUUUGUUUUUAUUUUAUUUUUAUUCAAAAAAGAAUUUUAAAAAAUCAGAAAAAUGGAAAAAAGAAAGAAAAGAAGAAAUAAAAAGGAAUUGAAAAGGAAGUAAAAGAAGGCUAGAUUGGGCCAUUUCAGAUUUUAUUCCUCCAAGCCCAAAUUCUUUUGCUUGUAAUCCGGCCAAACCCUUCUAAAAUACCAGCCCCAAGUGGCCCAAAACCCAUUCCCAAAUGCUCGACCCCAUCACCUCCUAAAACGAUCCCGUUUAAUUGAUUUUGAUAUGAGCCGUCGGAGUAAUCUAAUCCAAAGGCUCUUAGCUAAAUAUUAUUAUGUAUAUAUCAGUCUGAAACCCUUAACCCCCCCUCCCCAUCUCGUCUCUUUCAGAGACCAACUCCCUCCCCCCCAAACCCUUAUUAGCAUGUCGCCAUGAAAUCCUUCACCACGACUGGUACUGCCGCCUCUAAUUGACACCAAAAUAAAACCCUACAGACUCCAUAACCUCCUCACCACAAAUCUCCAUCCUAUUUUCUUCGAACAUUUCUGAAUAUCCUCAAAUAUCAAAUCAGAAAAUUGAGUCCUAAAUUCCAAAACAUCAAAUGGGUAGGGCUUUGAAGAUUUAGCGAAAUCGACUUUAGUCGCGUGUUGUCAGUUGAGAACACAUGAUUAAGGUCUAUCUCGGCCAAAAUCAAAGAUUUCAUUGAAGCAUUGGUUCUGAAAUUGUGGUCCG